UGGUUCAUGUUUGCAUUCAUUUCAGCAAUCAACAUUGGCACCUUUUCGUACCUACGAGAUAAAAGUGCCUAAAUGAUUUAUUUUCUAUCAUCAGAAUCAGAUGUAUCGAUUUUGUGUGGAAUAGUUUUGGCUUAAUUUUCAGAUGUGAGUGUGGCUUUAUUUAACACUUAAAGUUUUCAUAUUGCUGCAUCUCAUGCCUACGUUCAAUGAUGUGAUCUGGUGGGAAUAUCGUCUAUUGGUGUGCAAGAUAUAUUAGGAUGAAGAAGAUUAUAGCUUAUAAGAUAUGGAAAGCCACAUCUAUCCUAUAUCAUUUUAAUGAAGAGUGACAAUUGUGUACGUGAGGCUACCCAAACUAUGAAUAGUCUGGCAUACAGGAUAAGUUUGUAUGAUCUUACUUUGUAUGAAGUGUCAUGGUGAUCUAAAAUGAAUACAAAUUUUUUACCAUAUUUGACUCUUCAAACUGGAUGAUCCUUUAAAUAAGAAGAUAUUGUACGAUUGCCAAUGAGAUAUCUAUUUAUCAGAGUUCAAAUGUCGUGGAUGUAAGCAAUCGUAGUGCACCGUACAGCCCUCACUAAUGAGACAACUCAUAACGUAUAGACGGACAAUAAAGGCCCGACAUAAAAAGUAUGUGAAACAAUUCAACAAAAUUAUAUCAUAGAUACCAGGAUAAAAUCAAGAAAAGUGUCGGUCUAAUUUUCGUCAAUGCAAUUUUACGAAAAACAAAUAUGACAACAACGACUAAAUUUGAAAACUUCUGCAUUAUCGAUUGUCUUUAUAUGGAAAAAUAAGAAGAUGUGGUUUGAAUGCGAAUGCGACAACCCUCCACCAGUGACCAUUUUUCAAAGCAGAUAGAAAAUAUUGGUCACGUACGGCCUUCAAUAAUGAGCAAAACCCUAUACCGCAUAGUCAGCUGAAAAAAGGCACCGAAAUGUCAGAUACAAGGCAAAUAACAAGCCAAUCUGUGGGUGAUUUACUACCAAGGGCAACCUACAUUACCUC
This 999-nucleotide long non-coding RNA is filed under the name Mytilus galloprovincialis (Mediterranean mussel). Lineage: Eukaryota; Metazoa; Mollusca; Bivalvia; Mytilida; Mytilidae. The record is from RNAcentral.